This 834-nucleotide ribosomal RNA is filed under the name uncultured archaeon. RNAcentral describes it as "bacterial SSU rRNA". It matches the Rfam family "Archaeal small subunit ribosomal RNA", at positions 86 to 921 of the family's 1478-position model. The record is from RNAcentral.
CUGCUCAGUAACACGUGGAUAACUUAACCUUAGGUCCGGCAUAACCCCGGGAAACUGGGGAUAAUUCCGGAUGUAUCAAGGAUGCUGGAAUGCCCUUUGGUUCAAAGCUUUUGUGCCUAAGGAUAGGUCUGCGGUCUAUCAGGUUGUAGUGGGUGUAACGUACCUACUAGCCGACGACGGAUACGGGUUGUGAGAGCAAGAGCCCGGAGAUGGAUUCUGAGACAAGAAUCCAGGCCCUACGGGGUGCAGCAGGCGCGAACACUUUACAAUGCGGGAAACCGCGAUAAGGGAACCCCGAGUGCCAGUACUAAGUGCUGGCUGUCUAGAUGAAUAGAUAUCAUUUAAUAGCAAGGGCCGGGCAAGACCGGUGCCAGCCGCCGCGGUAACACCGGCGGCCCGAGUGGUAACCGAUAUUAUUGGGUCUAAAGGGUCCGUAGCCUGUUUAAUAAGUCCUUUGGGAAAUCUGGCAGCUUAACUGUCAGGCUGCUAAAGGAUACUGUUAAACUUGGGACCGGUAGACGUAGGGGGUACUCCAGGGGUAGGAGUGAAAUCUUGUAAUCCCUGGGGGACCAUCUGUGGCGAAGGCGCCCUACGAGAACGGGUCCGACGGUGAGGGACGAAAGCUAGGGGAGCAAACCGGAUUAGAUACCCGGGUAGUCCUAGCUGUAAACGAUGCUCGCUAGGUGUCAGGCACGGUGCGUCCGUGUCUGGUGCCGCAGGGAAGCCGUUAAGCGAGCCACCUGGGGAGUACGGUCGCAAGGCUGAAACUUAAAGGAAUUGGCGGGGGAGCACUACAACGGGUGGAGCCUGCGGUUUAAUUGGAUUCAACGCCGG